RNAcentral lists this ribosomal RNA (2268 nucleotides) under Veillonella sp. RNAcentral describes it as "partial 23S ribosomal RNA". It matches the Rfam family "Bacterial large subunit ribosomal RNA", at positions 314 to 2869 of the family's 2925-position model. Lineage: Bacteria; Bacillati; Bacillota; Negativicutes; Veillonellales; Veillonellaceae. The record is from RNAcentral.
ACGUGAACCGAUUUGUUAGUGGAACUGUCUGGGAAGUCAGGCCAGAGAGGGUGAAAGCCCCGUACACGAAAGCAAUAGGAAGCAGCAGGAUCCAGAGUACCACGAGACACGAGAAACCUUGUGGGAAGUCGGAGGGACCACCCUCCAAGGCUAAAUACUCCUUAGUGACCGAUAGCGCAUAGUACUGUGAAGGAAAGGUGAAAAGGACCCCGGGAGGGGAGUGAAAAAGAACCUGAAACCCUGUGUUUACAAGCUGUGGAAGCACGUUAAGGUGCGACCGCGUACUUUUUGUAGAACGGUCCGGCGAGUUGCCGGUACUGGCAAGGUUAAGAGCUUAAGGCUCGGAGCCGAAGGGAAACCAAGUCUCAAAUGGGCGUCAAGUCAGUACAGGCAGACCCGAAACCGGGUGACCUAUCCAUGUCCAGGUUGAAGCGGAAGUAAAAUUCCGUGGAGGACCGGAUCCACAUCCGUUGAAAAGGGUGGGAAUGAGGUGUGGAUAGGGGAGAAAUUCCAAUCGAACCCGGAGAUAGCUGGUUCUCCUCGAAAUAGCUUUAGGGCUAGCCUCAUAUUAGUUUAGCGGAGGUAGAGCACUGAAUUCCUAAGGGACCUACAGCUAAGGUCCCAAAGUGUGUGUUAAGUGGAAAAGGAUGUGGGAUUUCAAAGACAACUAGGAUGUUGGCUCAGAAGCAGCCACACAUUCAAAGAGUGCGUAAUAGCUCACUAGUCGAGAGGUCCUGCGCCGAAAAUGUCCGGGGCUGAAACACAACACCGAAGCUUAGGAAUGUAUGUAAGUACAUUGGUAGAGGAGCAUUCUUAGUGCGGAGAAGCGGUACCGAUAAGGAGCCGUGGAGCGUUAAGAAGAGAGAAUGCCGGAAUGAGUAGCGAGAUGGAGGUGGGAAUCCUCCAGGCCGAAUAUCCAAGGUUUCCAGAGUAAAGCUGAUCUGCUCUGGGUAAGUCGGGGCCUAAGGCGAGGCUGAGAGGCGUAGUCGAUGGACAACAGGUUGAAAUUCCUGUACCAUGUAUCAUCAGAACUGUGGGGACACAGAAGGACAACACAUCCCGGGAAUGGGAAUACCGGGGCAAGCGAUCCUAAGGCCGGCGGGAGAAGCAUUGUUAAGGAACUCGGCAAAAUGACCCCGUAACUUCGGGAGAAGGGGUGCCACAGAGAUGUGGCCGCAGAGAAUAGGCUCAAGCAACUGUUUAGCAAAAACACAGGUCUAUGCAAAACCGUAAGGUGAGGUAUAUGGGCUGACGCCUGCCCGGUGCUGGAAGGUUAAGAGGAGAGGUUAGCGCAAGCGAAGCUUUGAAUUUAAGCCCCAGUAAACGGCGGCCGUAACUAUAACGGUCCUAAGGUAGCGAAAUUCCUUGUCGGGUAAGUUCCGACCCGCACGAAAGGCGUAAUGAUUUGAGCGCUGUCUCAACAAUGCACCCGGUGAAAUUGAAAUACCAGUGAAGAUGCUGGUUACCUGCGCCAGGACGGAAAGACCCCAUGGAGCUUUACUCCAGUUUGAUACUGGGAUUCGGUAUUGCAUGUACAGGAUAGGUGGGAGGCUUUGAAACAUGGACGCCAGUCUGUGUGGAGCCAAUGUUGGGAUACCACCCUUGCGAUAUUGGGUUUCUAACCUGCGCCCGUGACCCGGGCGGGGGACAAUGUCAGGCGGGGAGUUUGACUGGGGCGGUCGCCUCCGAAAGGGUAUCGGAGGCGCUCAAAGGUUCCCUCAGGAUGGUUGGAAACCAUCCAAAGAGUGCAAAGGCAUAAGGGAGCUUGACUGCGACACCGACGGGUGGAGCAGGUACGAAAGUAGGACUUAGUGAUCCGGUGGUAUGAAAGUGGGAUUGCCAUCGCUCAACGGAUAAAAGCUACCCUGGGGAUAACAGGCUUAUCACUCCCAAGAGUUCACAUCGACGGAGUGGUUUGGCACCUCGAUGUCGGCUCAUCGCAUCCUGGGGCUGUAGCAGGUCCCAAGGGUUGGGCUGUUCGCCCAUUAAAGCGGUACGCGAGCUGGGUUCAGAACGUCGUGAGACAGUUCGGUCCCUAUCCGGCGCGGGCGUAGGAUAUCUGAGAGGAGCUGUCCUUAGUACGAGAGGACCGGGAUGGACAGACCGCUGGUGUACCUGUUGGCCUACCAAGGCCAUGGCAGGGUAGCCAAGUCUGGACGGGAUAAACGCUGAAGGCAUCUAAGCGUGAAGCCCCCCUCAAGAUGAGAUAUCCCAUCGCGAAAGCGAGUAAGACCCCUUGAAGACGACGAGGUAGAUAGGUUAGAGGUG